Molecule: non-coding RNA, 80 nt
Filed under: Evansella cellulosilytica
Lineage: Bacteria; Bacillati; Bacillota; Bacilli; Caryophanales; Bacillaceae
Also listed under: 1 other name
Description: Bacillus cellulosilyticus c-di-GMP sequence
Rfam family: c-di-GMP-I riboswitch aptamer
About the family: GEMM was predicted in a large-scale screen for bacterial structured RNA regulatory elements.
Source: RNAcentral
UUAAUAUUGGGGCAAACUGUGCGAAAGUGCAGGACGCAAAGCCACGGGUCUAAGCAUAGUAUGAUAGCCGGGUUACCUAG